RNAcentral lists this long non-coding RNA (6718 nucleotides) under Lactuca sativa (garden lettuce). RNAcentral's name for it is "long non-coding RNA (LSAT_LNC008607)". The record is from RNAcentral. Lineage: Eukaryota; Viridiplantae; Streptophyta; Magnoliopsida; Asterales; Asteraceae.
ACCAUGUUGACCAAUGGCCCAUAUGUCAUCCAUGGACACCAUAAGCCACUAUCAUGUUGACAGAUCAUCCAAAUGUCAUCCAUGGACACCAUAAGCCAUUACCAUGUUGACCAAUGACCCAUAUGUCAUCCAUAUGUAUCAUAAGGCACUACCAUGUUCACCAAUGACCUAUAUGUCAUCCAUGGACACCAUAAGCUAGUAUCAUGUUGACUAAUCAUUCAUAUAUCAUCCAUGGACACCAUAAGCUACUUCCAUGUUAACCAAUGGUCCAUAUGCCAUCCAUAUGUCAUCCAUCGACACCAUAAACCACUACGAUGUUGGCCAAUGACCCUGACUUUCAUCCAUAUGUCAUCCAUGGACACCAUAAGCCAUUACCAUGUUGACUAAUGACCUGUAUGUCAUCCAUGGACACCAUAAGCCACUACCAUGUUGACUAAUGACCCAUAUGUCAUCCAUAUGUCAUCCAUCGACAUUAUAACCCACUACCAUGUUGACCAAUGACCCAUAUGUCAUCCAUGGAUACCAUAAGCCACUACCAUGUUGAGCAAUGACCCAUACGUCAUCCAUGGACACCAUAAGCCACUACCAUGUUGACCAAUGACCCAUACGUCAUCCAUAUGUAAUCCGUGGACACCAUAAGCCACUACCAUAUUAACCAAUGACACAUAUUUCAUCCAUGGACACCAUAAGCCACUACCAUGUUGACCAAUGACCCAUACGUCAUCCAUAUGUCAUCCAUGGACACCAUAAGCCACUACCAUGUUGACCAAUGACCCAUAUGUUAUCCAUGGACACCAUAAGGCACUAGCAUGUUGACCAAUGACCCAUAUGUUAUCCAUAUACACCAUAAACCACUACCAUGUUGACCAAUGUCCCAUAUGUCAUCCAUGGACACCAUAUGCCAAUACCAUGUUGACGAAUGACCAAUAUGUAAUCCAUAUUCAUCCAUGGGUAUACCAUGGACACCAUGAGCCACUACCAUAUAUAUUGACAUGACCCGUACGUCUUUUGUAUAUAAAUUUCGGUUUAAACAUAAAAGCAUAAAGAUGUUGGGAAUGGAAUAUAGCUGAUCAAUCGCCGAUAAACUGAAACGACGGUAUAAGUCUGACUACAUAUUAUGGCGCCUAAGUGUUUAGACAAUGAAUUGACAUAAUUACCCUUUAACGUAUAAACGUUACUACGUAAAUGGUUAGGGUAUUUUUGUCAAUACCUACGGGCAUUUAUGUAAAUAAAUUGACAUUCUAAAUUUAAAGAGAUGAAGUUAAAUAAAAUUAAUGAUUAAAAUUCAAAAAGACGAAUAUAAUUAAAUUUUUUUACAUAAGUAGGAUUCGAACCAGCGACUUUGGGUAGGAAAAAGGACGCGUUAGCGAGAAAAACUAAAUUUACUUCAGUUUCUUCUAAUUGAAAAACCAUAAUAUUAUGUUCAUUAAUAUUGCAGCCCACAUAUCAUCCAUAUAAACCAUAAUCCAUUACCAUGUUGACCAACGGCCCAUAUGCCAUCCAUGGACAUCAUAAGCCACUAUCAUGUUGACCAAUCAUCCAUAUGUGAUCCAUGGACACCACAAGCCAUUACCAUGUUGACCAAUGACUCAUAUGUCAUCCAUAUACACCAUAAUCCACUACCAUGUUGACCAAUGGCCCAUAUGUAACCCAUGUACACCAAAAACCACUAUCAUGUUACCAAUCAUCCAUAUGUCAUCCAUGGACACCAUAAUCCAUUACCAUGUUGACCAAUGACCCAUAUGUCAUCCAUAUACACCAUAAGCCACUACCAUGUUCACCAAUGUCCCAUAUGUCAUCCAUGGACACCAUAAGCAAACUAUCAUGUUGACCUAUCAUCCAUAUGUCAUCCAUGGACACCAUAAUCCAUUACCAUGUUGACCAAUGACCCAUAUGUCAUCCAUAUACACCAUAAGCCACUACCAUGUUCACCAAUGUCCCAUAUGUCAUCCAUGGACACCAUAAGCAAACUAUCAUGUUGACCUAUCAUCCAUAUGUCAUCCAUGGACACCAUAAUCCAUUACCAUGUUGACCAAUGACCCAUAUGUCAUCCAUAUACACCAUAAGCCACUACCAUGUUCACCAAUGUCCCAUAUGUCAUCCAUGGACACCAUAAGCAAACUAUCAUGUUGACCUAUCAUCCAUAUGUCAUCCAUGGACACCAUAAUCCAUUACCAUGUUGACCAAUGACCCAUAUGUCAUCCAUAUACACCAUAAGCCACUACCAUGUUCACCAAUGUCCCAUAUGUCAUCCAUGGACACCAUAAGCAAACUAUCAUGUUGACCUAUCAUCCAUAUGUCAUCCAUGGACACCAUAAUCCAUUACCAUGUUGACCAAUGACCCAUAUGUCAUCCAUAUACACCAUAAGCCACUACCAUGUUCACCAAUGUCCCAUAUGUCAUCCAUGGACACCAUAAGCAAACUAUCAUGUUGACCUAUCAUCCAUAUGUCAUCCAUGGACACCAUAAUCCAUUACCAUGUUGACCAAUGACCCAUAUGUCAUCCAUAUACACCAUAAGCCACUACCAUGUUCACCAAUGUCCCAUAUGUCAUCCAUGGACACCAUAAGCAAACUAUCAUGUUGACCUAUCAUCCAUAUGUCAUCCAUGGACACCAUAAUCCAUUACCAUGUUGACCAAUGACCCAUAUGUCAUCCAUAUACACCAUAAGCCACUACCAUGUUCACCAAUGUCCCAUAUGUCAUCCAUGGACACCAUAAGCAAACUAUCAUGUUGACCUAUCAUCCAUAUGUCAUCCAUGGACACCAUAAUCCAUUACCAUGUUGACCAAUGACCCAUAUGUCAUCCAUAUACACCAUAAGCCACUACCAUGUUCACCAAUGUCCCAUAUGUCAUCCAUGGACACCAUAAGCAAACUAUCAUGUUGACCUAUCAUCCAUAUGUCAUCCAUGGACACCAUAAUCCAUUACCAUGUUGACCAAUGACCCAUAUGUCAUCCAUAUACACCAUAAGCCACUACCAUGUUCACCAAUGUCCCAUAUGUCAUCCAUGGACACCAUAAGCAAACUAUCAUGUUGACCUAUCAUCCAUAUGUCAUCCAUGGACACCAUAAGCCAUUACCAUGUUGACCAAUGACGCAUAUGUUAUCCAUAUACAACAUAAGCCACUACCAUGUUGACUAAUGGCCCAUAGGUCAUCCAUGGACACCAUAAGCCACUAUCAUGUUGACCAAUAGUCCAUAUGUCAUCCACGGACACCAUAAGCCAUUACCAUGUUGACCAAUGACGCAUAUGUUAUCCAUAUACAACAUAAGCCACUACCAUGUUGACCAAUGUCCCAUAUGUCAUCCAUGGACGCCAUAAGCCACUAUAAUGAUGACCAAUCAUCCAUAUGUCAUCUCUGGACUCCAUAAGCCAUUACCAAGUUGACCAAUGACCCAUAUGUCAUCCAUGUACACCGUAAGCCACUACCAUGUUCACAAUUGACCCAUAUGUCAUCCAUCUACACCAUAUGCCACUAUCAUGUUGACCAAUCAUCCAUAUGUAAUCCAUGGACACCAUAAGCCAUUACCAUGUUGACUAAUGACCCAUAUGUCAUCCAUGUACACCGUAAGCCACUACCAUGUUCACAAUUGACCCAUAUGUCAUCCAUCUACACCAUAUGCCACUAUCAUGUUGACCAAUCAUCCAUAUGUAAUCCAUGGACACCAUAAGCCAUUACCAUGUUGACCAAUGACCCAUAUAUCAUCCAUAUACAACGUAAGCCACUACCAUGUUGACCAAUGGACCAUACCUCAUCCAUGGACAACAUAAGCCACUAUCAUGUUGACCAAUCAUCUAUAUGUCAUCCGUGGACACCAUAAGCCAUUACCAUGUUGACCAAUGACCCAUAUAUCAUCCAUAUACAACGUAAGCCACUACCAUGUUGACCAAUGGCCCAUAUGUCAUCCAUGGACACCAUAAGCAAUUAUCAUGUCGACCAAUCAUCCUUAUGUCAUCCACGGACACCAUAAGCCAUUAACAUGUUGACAAUUGACCCAUAUGUCAUCCAUAUACACCGUAAGCCACUUCCAUGAUGACCAAUGUCCCAUAUGUCAUCCAUGGACACCAUAAGCCACUAUAAUGUUGACCAAUCAUCCAUAUAUCCUCCAUGGACACCAUAAGCCAUUACCAUGUUAACCAAUGACCCAUAUGUCAUCCAUAUACACCGUAAGCAACUACCAUGUUCACCAAUGACUCAUAUGUCAUCCAUCGACACCAUAAGCCAUUAUCAUGUUGACCAAUCAUCCAUAUGUCAUCCAUAGACACCAUAAGCCAUUACCAUGUUGACUAAUGACCCAUAUGUCAUCCAUAUAAACCAAAAGCCACUACCAUGUUGACCAAUGGCCCAUAUGUCAUCCAUGGAAACCAUAAGCCACUGUUAGGUUGACCAAUCAUCCAUAUGACAUCCCUGGACACCAUAAGAGAUUACCAUGUUGACCAAUGACCCAUAUGUGAUCCAUAUACACCGUAAGCCACUACCAUGUUGACCAAUGGCCCAUAUGUCAUCCAUGGACACCAUAAGCCACUAUCAUGUUGACAGAUCAUCCAAAUGUCAUCCAUGGACACCAUAAGCCAUUACCAUGUUGACCAAUGACCCAUAUGUCAUCCAUAUGUAUCAUAAGGCACUACCAUGUUCACCAAUGACCUAUAUGUCAUCCAUGGACACCAUAAGCUAGUAUCAUGUUGACUAAUCAUUCAUAUGUCAUCCAUGGACACCAUAAGCUACUUCCAUGUUAACCAAUGGUCCAUAUGCCAUCCAUAUGUCAUCGAUGGACACCAUAAACCACUACGAUGUUGGCCAAUGACCCUUACUUUCAUCCAUAUGUCAUCCAUGGACACCAUAAGCCAUUACCAUGUUGACCAAUGACCCGUAUGUCUUCCAUGGACACCAUAAGCCACUACCAUGUUGACUAAUGACCCAUAUGUCAUCCAUAUGUCAUCCAUGGACAUUAUAACCCACUACCAUGUUGACCAAUGACCCAUAUGUCAUCCAUGGAUACCAUAAGCCACUACCAUGUUGAGCAAUGACCCAUACGUCAUCCAUGGACACCAUAAACCACUACCAUGUUGACCAAUGACCCAUACGUCAUCCAUAUGUAAUCCGUGGACACCAUAAGCCACUACCAUGUUAACCAAUGACACAUAUUUCAUCCAUGGACACCAUAAGCCACUACCAUGUUGACCAAUGACCCAUACGUCAUCCAUAUGUCAUCCAUGGACACCAUAAGCCACUACCAUGUUGACCAAUGACCCAUAUGUUAUCCAUGGACACCAUAAGGCACUAGCAUGUUGACCAAUGACCCAUAUGUUAUCCAUAUACACCAUAAACCACUACCAUGUUGACCAAUGUCCCAUAUGUCAUCCAUGGACACCAUAUGCCAAUACCAUGUUGACGAAUGACCAAUAUGUCAUCCAUAUUCAUCCAUGGGUAUACCAUGGACACCAUGAGCCACUACCAUAUAUAUUGACAUGACCCGUACGUCUUUUGUAUAUAAAUUUUGGUUUAAACAUAAAAGCAUAAAGAUGUUGGGAAUGGAAUAUAGAUGAUCAAUCGCCGAUAAACUGAAACGACGGUAUAAGUCUGACUACAAAUUAUGGCGCCUAAGUGUUUAGACAAUGAAUUGACAUAAUUACCCUUUAACGUAUAAACGUUACUACGUAAAUGGUUAGGGUAUUUUUGUCAAUACCUAUGGGAAUUUAUGUAAAUAAAUUGACAUUCUAAAUUUAAAGAGAUGAAGUUAAAUAAAAUUAAUGAUUAAAAUUCAAAAAGACGAAUUUAAUUAAAUUUUUUUACAUAAGUAGGAUUCGAACUAGCGACUUCGGGUAGGAAAAAGGACGCGUUAGCGAGAAAAACUAAAUUUACUUCAGUUUAUUCUAAUUGAAAAACCAUAAUAUUAUGUUCAUUAAUAUUGCAGCCCACAUAUCAUCCAUAUAACCCAUAAUCCAUUACCAUGUUGACCAACGGCCGAUAUGCCAUCCAUGGACAUCAUAAGCCACUAUCAUGUUGACCAAUCAUCCAUAUGUGAUCCAUGGACACCACAAGCCAUUACCAUGUUGACCAAUGACUCAUAUGUCAUCCAUAUACACCAUAAUCCACUACCAUGUUGACCAAUGGCCCAUAUGUAACCCAUGGACACCAAAAACCACUAUCAUGUUACCAAUCAUCCAUAUGUCAUCUAUGGACACCAUAAGCCAUUAUCAUGUUGACAAAUGACCCAUAUGUCAUCCAUAUACACCAUAAGCCACUACCAUGUUCACCAAUGACCUAUAUGUCAUCCACGCACACCAUAAGCCACUAUCAUGUUGACCAAUCAUCCAUAUGUCAUCCAUGGCCACCAUAAGCCAGUACUAUGUUGACCAAUGACCCAUAUGUCAUCCAUAUACACAAUAAGCCACUACCAAGUUAACCAAUGGCACAUAUGUCAUCCAUGGACACCAUAAGCCACUAUCAUGUUGACCAAUCAUCCAUAAGUCAUCCCUGAACACCAUAAGCCAUUACCAUGUUGACCAUUGACCAUAUGUCAUCCAUAUACACCAUAAGCCUCAACCAUGUUCACCAACGGACCAUAUGUCAUUCAUGGACAACAUAAGCCACUAUCUUGUUGACCAAUCAUCCAUAUGUCAUCCAUGGACACCAUAAGCCAUUACCAUGUUGACCAAUGACCCAUAUGUCAUCCAUAUACACCAUAAACCACUACCAUGUUCACCAAUGAACC